GAACGAACUCUGGCGGCGUGCCUAACACAUGCAAGUCGCGCGAGAAAGCGGNGGCAACUCCGUGAGUAAAGCGGCGCACGGGUGAGUAAUACGUAGGUAACCUACCUCCGAGACCGGGAUAACCCUCCGAAAGGAAGGCUAAUACUGGAUGAGACCACGGAGCCUCGGCUCUGCGGUCAAAGGUGGCCUCCACUCGUAAGCUACCACUCAGAGAUGGGCCUGCGCACCAUUAGCUAGUUGGCGAGGUAACGGCUCACCAAGGCGAAGAUGGUUAGCUGAUCUGAGAGGAUGAUCAGCCACACUGGGACUGAGACACGGCCCAGACUCCUACGGGAGGCAGCAGUGGGGAAUCUUGGACAAUGGGGGAAACCCUGAUCCAGCGACGCCGCGUGGGUGAUGAAGGCCUUCGGGUCGUAAAGCCCUGUCGGGAGGGAAGAAACUCCUGCCGGUGAACAAUCGGCGGGAUUGACGGUACCUCCUAAGGAAGCACCGGCUAACUCUGUGCCAGCAGCCGCGGUAAGACAGAGGGUGCAAGCGUUGUUCGGAAUUACUGGGCGUAAAGGGCGCGUAGGCGGCCCGCUAAGUUCGGUGUGAAAUCCCCUGGCUCAACUGGGGAACUGCGCCGGAAACUGACGGGCUCGAGUACCGGAGAGGAGGGUGGAAUUCCUGGUGUAGCGGUGAAAUGCGUAGAUAUCAGGAGGAACACCGGUGGCGAAGGCGGCCCUCUGGACGAGUACUGACGCUGAGGCGCGAAAGCGUGGGGAUCAACAGGAUUAGAUACCCUGGUAGUCCACGCUGUAACGAUGGGAACUAGGUGUGAGAGGUUAGAUCCUCUCGUGCCGCCGCUAACGCAUUAAGUUCCCCGCCUGGGGAUUACGGCCGCAAGGUU
This 889-nucleotide ribosomal RNA is filed under the name uncultured Pseudomonadota bacterium. RNAcentral describes it as "bacterial SSU rRNA". It matches the Rfam family "Bacterial small subunit ribosomal RNA", at positions 27 to 895 of the family's 1533-position model. The record is from RNAcentral. Lineage: Bacteria; Pseudomonadati; Pseudomonadota.